Molecule: ribosomal RNA, 522 nt
Filed under: Bifidobacterium longum subsp. infantis
Lineage: Bacteria; Bacillati; Actinomycetota; Actinomycetes; Bifidobacteriales; Bifidobacteriaceae
Also listed under: 1 other name
Description: bacterial SSU rRNA
Rfam family: Bacterial small subunit ribosomal RNA
Source: RNAcentral
GUAAUGCCGGAUGCUCCAGUUGAUCGCAUGGUCUUCUGGGAAAGCUUUCGCGGUAUGGGAUGGGGUCGCGUCCUAUCAGCUUGACGGCGGGGUAACGGCCCACCGUGGCUUCGACGGGUAGCCGGCCUGAGAGGGCGACCGGCCACAUUGGGACUGAGAUACGGCCCAGACUCCUACGGGAGGCAGCAGUGGGGAAUAUUGCACAAUGGGCGCAAGCCUGAUGCAGCGACGCCGCGUGAGGGAUGGAGGCCUUCGGGUUGUAAACCUCUUUUAUCGGGGAGCAAGCGAGAGUGAGUUUACCCGUUGAAUAAGCACCGGCUAACUACGUGCCAGCAGCCGCGGUAAUACGUAGGGUGCAAGCGUUAUCCGGAAUUAUUGGGCGUAAAGGGCUCGUAGGCGGUUCGUCGCGUCCGGUGUGAAAGUCCAUCGCUUAACGGUGGAUCCGCGCCGGGUACGGGCGGGCUUGAGUGCGGUAGGGGAGACUGGAAUUCCCGGUGUAACGGUGGAAUGUGUAGAUAUCGG